AACGAACGCUGGCGGCAUGCCUAACACAUGCAAGUCGAACGAGACCUUCGGGUCUAGUGGCGUACGGGUGCGUAACGCGUGGGAAUCUGCCCUUGGGUUCGGAAUAACAGUUGGAAACGACUGCUAAUACCGGAUGAUGACGUAAGUCCAAAGAUUUAUCGCCCAAGGAUGAGCCCGCGUAGGAUUAGCUAGUUGGUGAGGUAAAGGCUCACCAAGGCGACGAUCCUUAGCUGGUCUGAGAGGAUGAUCAGCCACACUGGGACUGAGACACGGCCCAGACUCCUACGGGAGGCAGCAGUGGGGAAUAUUGGACAAUGGGCGAAAGCCUGAUCCAGCAAUGCCGCGUGAGUGAUGAAGGCCUUAGGGUUGUAAAGCUCUUUUACCCGGGAUGAUAAUGACAGUACCGGGAGAAUAAGCUCCGGCUAACUCCGUG
Molecule: ribosomal RNA, 433 nt
Filed under: uncultured bacterium
Lineage: Bacteria
Description: partial 16S ribosomal RNA
Rfam family: Bacterial small subunit ribosomal RNA
Source: RNAcentral